This 391-nucleotide ribosomal RNA is filed under the name uncultured bacterium. RNAcentral describes it as "bacterial SSU rRNA". It matches the Rfam family "Bacterial small subunit ribosomal RNA", at positions 963 to 1353 of the family's 1533-position model. The record is from RNAcentral.
GAAGAACCUUACCACCCCUUGACAUCCUCGGAACUGCCUGGAGACAGGCAGGUGCCUUCGGGAACCGAGUGACAGGUGCUGCAUGGCUGUUGUCAGCUCGUGUCGCGAGAUGUUGGGUUAAGUCCCGUAACGAGCGCAACCCUUGUCCUUAUUUGCCAGCGGGUCAGGCCGGGAACUCUAGGGAGACUGCCGGUGACAAACCGGAGGAAGGUGGGGAUGACGUCAAGUCAUCAUGGCCCUCACGGGGUGGGCUACAAACGUGCUACAAUGGGCGGCACAGAGGGCUGCGAACCAGCAAUGGCAAGCGAAUCCCAAAAAACCGCUCGUUGUCCGGAUAGGAGUCUGCAACUCGACUCCUUGAAGUCGGAAUCGCUAGUAAUCGCGAAUCAGA